This 665-nucleotide long non-coding RNA is filed under the name Physcomitrium patens. RNAcentral's name for it is "long non-coding RNA (PPAT_LNC007387)". Lineage: Eukaryota; Viridiplantae; Streptophyta; Bryopsida; Funariales; Funariaceae. The record is from RNAcentral.
GGAUUAGGAUUUAGAUUAGGAUUUGAAUUUGGUUUAGGAUUUGAUUAGGAAUUGGUUUAAGGUUUAGGAUUUGAUUAAAGUUUGAUUAGGAUUUGAUUUAGGAUUUAGGAUUUAUCUAGGAUUUGAUUAAGAUUGGAUUAGGAUUAGGAGUUGGUUAGAAUUUAAGGUUUUAUUAGAUUUUUGUUAAGGUUUGACUAAGUUUUUUUUAAUAUUCUUUUAUAAUUCUUUAAGAUUUUCUUGUGUUUCUUUUAUAACUUCAAUAAAAUUUAAUUGAGCUUGCUUAAUGUUUGAUUAUGAUUGUUAAUGUUUAAUUGUAAAUUGUCUAUAAUUCUAUUGGAUUGUUAGGACCUUUUGUUGUAAUUUUCUUUUACCUUCCACAGCUAGGUGCUCGGUGCAUUUUCAAGCAAGACUUCACGUAAUAUGAUAACAUUUCAACCUCUUACUGAGCAAGAAAAGACUCGUCGUCGUCAAGAAGGAUUGUGCUUAUAUUAUGGAGAACCUAAGCACACUGCUCAAGAUUACCCAAAGAAGUGACACAACCAUAAAAUAAAGAGUACAGCUAUCAAAGAAGAUAGUAUGUUAGAAAAUGAGUUUGUCAAGCAACAAUAAGGACUGUACGGCUUGAAUCUUGUGCAACACCUAAGAAAGGUCUUAUUUUCUUCUUA